GACGAACGCUGGCGGCGUGCUUAACACAUGCAAGUCGAACAGAAAGGCCCUGCUUUUGUGGGGUGCUCGAGUGGCGAACGGGUGAGUAACACGUGAGUAACCUGCCCUUGACUUUGGGAUAACUUCAGGAAACUGGGGCUAAUACCGGAUAGGAGCUCCUGCUGCAUGGUGGGGGUUGGAAAGUUUCGGCGGUUGGGGAUGGACUCGCGGCUUAUCAGCUUGUUGGUGGGGUAGUGGCUUACCAAGGCUUUGACGGGUAGCCGGCCUGAGAGGGUGACCGGCCACAUUGGGACUGAGAUACGGCCCAGACUCCUACGGGAGGCAGCAGUGGCGAAUAUUGCACAAUGGGCGGAAGCCUGAUGCAGCAACGCCGCGUGCGGGAUGACGGCCUUCGGGUUGUAAACCGCUUUCGCCUGUGACGAAGCGUGAGUGACGGUAAUGGGUAAAGAAGCACCGGCUAACUACGUG
RNAcentral lists this ribosomal RNA (468 nucleotides) under uncultured bacterium. RNAcentral describes it as "partial 16S ribosomal RNA". It matches the Rfam family "Bacterial small subunit ribosomal RNA", at positions 28 to 507 of the family's 1533-position model. The record is from RNAcentral.